GUCAGACUCUCUGCCUUCGGUACCACCGGUUCCAAUGGAUACCACCCAGCGCAGCUUAGCCACACAACUCCCUCUAGUUCUUUAUGGUGUUCACGGUAGCAAACACUGUUGUGCACACAGUAAACACACCCCUUGUCAUAGGAGAAGAUGGAAGACUAGUUUUCUAACGUCACUGCAGAUAUCCUCUGUAGCACAUCAUAUACCUGGGGCUACAACAGAAGAAAACCUGUCUCCCAUGCCAGAUAAAACCUGUCGUUAAUGUCUGCAAAGUGUCAUGAGACGAAGAAACAUUAUUGAAAUGAUACAGGGUAUCAUAGAAAUGUAAUCUGCUCUGCUUUGGGGCACUUAGGUUGCCUAACAAAUAAGGUAUUAAGAGCCAGUACACUUUUUGCCCCGGUGGGAGGCUUGAACAAAGAACCCUUCUGCCGAAUCUCCAAAAUGGCGAAACCAGCUGAAUGUGUUCCCAUCAUCUUUUGCUGAGAAGAUGAAAGCCUUUGGGGAUGUUCUUGCCCGUAAUGAGGGUACCUUUUCAUGCUAAGUAUCUGAAUUGCAGGCUGAUUUGGGAAAAGCUAAUUGAGAACAGAAGCUAAAGAGGAAAACACUUGUUUCUCAACAUUUUCUUCAGUUCAAAUAUUGAGUCAGUGCCAACAUAAUUACCAAAUUGCGGUCUUCUCUUUCCUUCUCUUGUUAAACAAUUCUGCUUUCCCCAGUAUCUCUGUUUUCGAGAAAAUCAAGUGGGUACAUAGCUGGAAAUUGCGCAGGUCAUGUGUUCUUUGGCAGCUACAAACUUCUUUUCUACAAGGCAAUCCCUGGACAAAAUCCAAGGUGAUCGUAUCCUUUCUACCCCAACACUGUGUACAUUGCGUAACACAUGUCCUUUUGUACCUUUCUGGAAAGCAAAUGCAGCUGCUUUUUUGAACAUGGAUGGCACAGCCUGUCUUCAGGCGCCCUAUGGACCUUUAAAUUAGCACAUGCCCAUUAGGCAUAGUCACACUACCAGGUCAGACUGUGUUAACCUGCAGCACGAUACUGUCUCCUUUGACUAGCAGCUGUUCUCCAUCAUCUCAGGCCUUUUGCAUCCUUUUCAAGCUGGUUCUUUUUAAUUACAGAUGCCAGAGACCACCCCUAAGUCAUUCUGCAUGCAAAACUAGUGAUAAGUUACUCUACUCUGGUCCCUCACCAGUUGAUUUAAAUGGCACGAAUGUAGUUAGAAGAAGCUUUGAGUUUUGUGAGUAGUCUUGCGUAUUUGUAGCCUGAAACAGCAAAC
Molecule: long non-coding RNA, 1267 nt
Organism: Podarcis raffonei (Aeolian wall lizard)
Lineage: Eukaryota; Metazoa; Chordata; Lepidosauria; Squamata; Lacertidae
Exons: 2
Source: RefSeq, a predicted model, not a curated record